Molecule: ribosomal RNA, 254 nt
Filed under: uncultured bacterium
Lineage: Bacteria
Description: partial 16S ribosomal RNA
Rfam family: Bacterial small subunit ribosomal RNA
Source: RNAcentral
UACGAAGGGGGCUAGCGUUGUUCGGAAUUACUGGGCGUAAAGGGCGCGUAGGCGGUGUGUCAAGUCAGGCGUGAAAGCCCCGGGCUCAACCUGGGAACAGCGCUUGAGACUGGCACGCUCGAGUUCGGGAGAGGAUGGUGGAAUUCCCAGUGUAGAGGUGAAAAUGCGUAGAUAUUGGGAGGAACACCAGUGGCGAAGGCGGCUCGCUGGACCGGUUCUGACGCUGAGGCGCGAAAGCGUGGGUAGCAAACAGG